AGAGUUCAAACUUCAGAUGAGACUUGCUUGCUUGCUUUUCUCUACAUCCAGAAGCCUCAGCAUUUUAACCAGCAAGGUAUCACCAGCUAACUUGAAGGAGGCUAAAAAGUUUGCUCAAAAAACCGCUAGCAUUUCCCAUAAUUGGGCAUGUUUGAUCAAGUCAAUCGAGGAAAAUAGAGUUUCAUUUUCACAAGCAAAAGAU
RNAcentral lists this unclassified non-coding RNA (202 nucleotides) under Hevea brasiliensis (rubber tree). Lineage: Eukaryota; Viridiplantae; Streptophyta; Magnoliopsida; Malpighiales; Euphorbiaceae. The record is from RNAcentral.